GGGUGAACCGGGGAGGGGCGAGGGUGGCAGGUUCUCCCUCCCGCGGCUACCGAGGGGCACCUGCGCGGCCAGAGUCUGGGGUCACGGCUCCCGGUUAGGGUCUGCACUAAAGUCUGGAGAAGCUGGGCUGGGGGCGAACGGCAGACCCUCGCCAGAGGCCGGAGGCGGGAUGCGGCCGGGGCGGGGCCGGUCCGGGGCGGGGCCGGUCCGGGGCGGGGCGUGACGGUGGGUGGGGCCCGGGGAGACCAAUAGGCGUGCGCGGCUCGGGCCCCGCCCCGCCCCCCACGGCGGCUGCUGCAUAGUCAUGAGCUCGGGCGGCGCUGCGUCAGCGGAAGCGGCGCGCGGCGGCUGUUUCCGACCUGAUAAAGCGGCGUUGUCCCCGCGCGCUGGCCGCAUCCUCGCAAGCGCUCCGUUCGCGCCCGCGUCUCUCGCUGACUGACCGCCCGGCCGGCCAGCUGAGGAGCAGCCGCCGCCGGGCCCUGCCGCCGCCGCCGCCCCCGGAGCGCCGCGCCCCCCGCCGCCCCCUCCCGGCCCGGCCCGGCCGCCCCGCCGCGCCGCCGCCCCGCGGCCCCGGCCGGAGGAGACAGGGUGUGUUGCUCUUGACUGGGCUGCGGGGGAACACCUUCCAGCAAAGGGCUUUUUCAGAGGAGGGCACCGACAGUGUUCCCCUCACACCCGGGUCGGCAGUAGCGCCGAGACACAGCCCGGACACUCGACACGGAUGUGACGCCCAGAAGUGCGGACGGUGGUCUGUCUGGGUCCUCUGUUGAGCUUGCUCAUCUUGGGGAUUUCACUGGCAGUGAGGGAAGCCACAUUCCUGAACCAGUGCCCGAGAGGCUCUUUAUUGUGCUGCCUUCAAGAAGUACCUUCCAGCCUGGGAUUCUCUGUCAGCUGGUUUGCAGUUUUUGGAGUUUGCUGAAGGGUCUCUCCUGGGGCUUCACCCUUGAAUCCUGGAGUCCGUUGAAUUAGUUGGUGACCAAAUUCUUCCCACUGGAAAGAAAGGAAGGUCUUGAGCGCAAAAUCCAUAACAGACCCUUAGAUAAAGAGGGAUUGGAAGAGAGUGGAUUCGGGUCCAGAUGUCAUGGUUGAUGAGAUUUUACAUACAGAUUUUCCUGUACAGUUUUAGACAAACAACAUUUUACUCACCAUUUUAGGAAAACACAUUUAUCCAAAAGAGGAGGUGAUUUUUGGUUUGGAAAGAGGAGUGUUUUUCCAUCAGUUAUUUUGAGGGGAGGGGUUUGGGGAUGAACUUGGGAUGUGGACGCUGGGGGGAUGGUGAGGGGGGAACCAGCUGAGGGGCUGGAAGGCAGCCCUCUCAUCAUUGCGAUCACCUGUUAAGUUAGGAGUGCUUCAGAGCGACAUUCCCUUAAAGCAGAGAUCUUCAGACUUUCUUGCCCCUGUUCUGUGAAAUAACAAAAACUGUGGACACAUUUUUAAGUUGCCAUCUAGACUUUUUCACUUAAAAUAACUAAACACUCUAAUGAUCUGAUAGCCCACCCUCACCC
Long non-coding RNA from Bos taurus (domestic cattle), 1505 nucleotides. The record is from Ensembl. NCBI's taxonomy places the organism in Eukaryota, Metazoa, Chordata, Mammalia, Artiodactyla, Bovidae.